GUAGGUGGCAAGCGUUGUCCGGAAUUAUUGGGCGUAAAGCGCGCGCAGGUGGUUCUUUAAGUCUGAUGUGAAAGCCCCCGGCUCAACCGGGGAGGGUCAUUGGAAACUGGGGAACUUGAGUGCAGGAGAGGAAAGUGGGAUUCCACGUGUAGCGGUGAAAUGCGUAGAUAUGUGGAGGAACACCAGUGGCGAAGGCGACUUUCUGGCCUGUAACUGACACUGAGGCGCGAAAGCGUGGGGAGCAAACAGGGAUUAGAUACCCUGGUAGUCCACGCCGUAAACGAUGAGUGCUAAGUGUUGGGGGGGUUUCCGCCCCCUCAGUGCUGCAGCUAACGCAUUAAGCACUCCGCCUGGGAGUACGGUCGCAAGACUG
RNAcentral lists this ribosomal RNA (373 nucleotides) under uncultured organism. Its description in RNAcentral is "partial 16S ribosomal RNA". It matches the Rfam family "Bacterial small subunit ribosomal RNA", at positions 527 to 896 of the family's 1533-position model. The record is from RNAcentral.